RNAcentral lists this ribosomal RNA (658 nucleotides) under uncultured bacterium. Its description in RNAcentral is "bacterial SSU rRNA". It matches the Rfam family "Bacterial small subunit ribosomal RNA", at positions 56 to 703 of the family's 1533-position model. The record is from RNAcentral.
UGCAAGUCGAGGGGCAGCGGGAUUGAAGCUUGCUUCAAUUGCCGGCGACCGGCGCACGGGUGAGUAACGCGUAUCCAACCUUCCGUACACUCAGGGAUAGCCUUUCGAAAGAAAGAUUAAUACCUGAUGGUAUGAUGAGAUUGCAUGAUAGCAUCAUUAAAGAUUUAUCGGUGUACGAUGGGGAUGCGUUCCAUUAGGUAGUAGGCGGGGUAACGGCCCACCUAGCCAACGAUGGAUAGGGGUUCUGAGAGGAAGGUCCCCCACAUUGGAACUGAGACACGGUCCAAACUCCUACGGGAGGCAGCAGUGAGGAAUAUUGGUCAAUGGACGAGAGUCUGAACCAGCCAAGUAGCGUGAAGGAUGAAGGUCUUACGGAUUGUAAACUUCUUUUAUAAGGGAAUAAAACCUCCCACGUGUGGGAGCUUGUAUGUACCUUAUGAAUAAGCAUCGGCUAACUCCGUGCCAGCAGCCGCGGUAAUACGGAGGAUGCGAGCGUUAUCCGGAUUUAUUGGGUUUAAAGGGAGCGCAGACGGGUCGUUAAGUCAGCUGUGAAAGUUUGGGGCUCAACCUUAAAAUUGCAGUUGAUACUGGCGUCCUUGAGUGCGGUUGAGGUGUGCGGAAUUCGUGGUGUAGCGGUGAAAUGCUUAGAUAUCACGAA